GGCCCAAAUCUAUAUGGCCUCUGGAUUGGACUGCGGCCGAUCAGGCUGUUGGUGAGGUAAUGGCCCACCAAACCUUUUACCGGUACGGGCUCUGAGAGGAGGAGCCCGGAGAUGGGCACUGAGACAAGGGCCCAGGCCCUAUGGGGCGCAGCAGGCGCGAAACCUCUGCAAUAGGCGAAAGCCUGACAGGGUUACUCUGAGUGAUUCCCGCUAAGGGAAUCUUUUGGCAUCUCUAAAAAUGGUGCAGAAUAAGGGGUGGGCAAGUCUGGUGUCAGCCGCCGCGGUAAUACCAGCACCCCGAGUGGUCGGGACGAUUAUUGGGCCUAAAGCAUCCGUAGCCGGUCUUGCAAGUCUUCCGUUAAAUCCAGCUGCUUAACAGAUGGGCUGCGGAGGAUACUACAAGGCUAGGAGGCGGGAGAGGCAAGCGGUACUCAGUGGGUAGGGGUAAAAUCCUCUGAUCCAUUGAAGACCACCAGUGGCGAAGGCGGCUUGCCAGAACGCGCUCGACGGUGAGGGAUGAAAGCUGGGGGAGCAAACCGGAUUAGAUACCCGGGUAGUCCCAGCUGUAAACGAUGCAGACUCGGUGAUGGGCCGGCUUUAUGCCGGCUCAGUGCCGCAGGGAAGCCGUUAAGUCUGCCGCCUGGGGAGUACGGUCGCAAGACUGAAACUUAAAGG
RNAcentral lists this ribosomal RNA (675 nucleotides) under uncultured crenarchaeote. RNAcentral's name for it is "bacterial SSU rRNA". It matches the Rfam family "Archaeal small subunit ribosomal RNA", at positions 184 to 862 of the family's 1478-position model. Lineage: Archaea; Thermoproteati; Thermoproteota. The record is from RNAcentral.